This 520-nucleotide unclassified non-coding RNA is filed under the name uncultured Glomus. RNAcentral's name for it is "SSU rRNA". It matches the Rfam family "Eukaryotic small subunit ribosomal RNA", at positions 569 to 1092 of the family's 1831-position model. The record is from RNAcentral. Lineage: Eukaryota; Fungi; Glomeromycota; Glomeromycetes; Glomerales; Glomeraceae.
AGCAGCCGCGGUAAUUCCAGCUCCAAUAGCGUAUAUUAAAGUUGUUGCAGUUAAAAGUUCGUAGUUGAAUUUCGGGAUCAAUAUAUCGGUCGUGCCUUCGGUACGUACUGGUAUCAUUGGUUUCUUCUUUCUGACAAACCAUGAUGUCAUUAAUUUGGUGUUAUGGGGAGUUAGGACUGUUACUUUGAAAAAUUAGAGUGUUUAAAGCAGGCUUUAGCUUGAAUACAUUAGCAUGGAAUAAUGAAAUAGGACGUUCGAACCUAUUUUGUUGGUUUCUAGGAUCAACGUAAUGAUUAAUAGGGAUAGUUGGGGGCAUUAGUAUUCAAUUGUCAGAGGUGAAAUUCUUGGAUUUAUUGAAGACUAACUACUGCGAAAGCAUUUGCCAAGGAUGUUUUCAUUAAUCAAGAACGAAAGUUAGGGGAUCGAAGACGAUCAGAUACCGUCGUAGUCUUAACCAUAAACUAUGCCGACUAGGGAUCGGAUGAUGUUAAUUUUUUAAUGACUCAUUCGGCGCCUUACG